UACGGAGGGUGCGAGCGUUUAAUCGGAAUUACUGGGCGUAAAGAGUGCGUAGGUGGUUAAUUAAGUUAUCUGUGAAAUCCCUGGGCUUAACCUGGGCAGGUCAGAUGAUACUGAUGGACUCGAGUAUGGGAGAGGGUAGUGGAAUUUCCGGUGUAGCGGUGAAAUGCGUAGAGAUCGGAAGGAACACCAGUGGCGAAGGCGGCUACCUGGCCUAAUACUGACACUGAGGCACGAAAGCGUGGGGAGCAAACAGG
This 254-nucleotide ribosomal RNA is filed under the name uncultured bacterium. Its description in RNAcentral is "partial 16S ribosomal RNA". It matches the Rfam family "Bacterial small subunit ribosomal RNA", at positions 524 to 776 of the family's 1533-position model. The record is from RNAcentral.